RNAcentral lists this ribosomal RNA (468 nucleotides) under uncultured bacterium. RNAcentral describes it as "partial 16S ribosomal RNA". It matches the Rfam family "Bacterial small subunit ribosomal RNA", at positions 28 to 507 of the family's 1533-position model. The record is from RNAcentral.
GACGAACGCUGGCGGCGUGCUUAACACAUGCAAGUCGAACGGAAAGGCCCUGCUUUUGUGGGGUGCUCGAGUGGCGAACGGGUGAGUAACACGUGAGUAACCUGCCCUUGACUUUGGGAUAACUUCAGGAAACUGGGGCUAAUACCGGAUAGGAGCUCCUGCUGCAUGGUGGGGGUUGGAAAGUUUCGGCGGAUGGGGAUGGACUCGCGGCUUAUCAGCUUGUUGGUGGGGUAGUGGCUUACCAAGGCUUUGACGGGUAGCCGGCCUGAGAGGGUGACCGGGCACAUUGGGACUGCGGUACGGCCCAGACUCCUACGGGAGGCAGCAGUGGGGAAUAUUGCCCAAUGGGCGGAAGCCUGAUGCAGCAACGCCGCGUGCGGGAUGACGGCCUUCGGGUUGUAAACCGCUUUCGCCUGUGACGAAGCGUGAGUGACGGUAAUGGGUAAAGAAGCACCGGCUAACUACGUG